GCGGAAAAAAAACCUUGUUCGUACCGGAGGACUUGAAAACGAGGGAUGUAGAUCAUUGCUUUGGAUUGAACCUCCAUAAUUACAUCGUUUGCCUAAUUGAUCGAGAGUGGCCAUGAAAUUGGAAGUGGCCACACUCAUCUUGUGGUACUAAGAAGAAAUCAGAUUUUGGUGCCCCCGGGGCACAUCCCAAAUGGUAAAGGACGGAAUUCUGCAAGGCGAGCAGUUCAGAGGUCGCAUGUUCGAUUCAUGGAGCUCUUAGAAGGCAGGAUAUUUCCUAAAAGGCAGGAGUUCUCUUGGAAGGCAAGACGCAUACAUGAGUUUGACUCGCUCGACACUUUGACAGUUCAGUUGAGAGAGCUCUUGGACCCUAGCCAAUUUGUGGCACAACCCGCGAUUUACCUGGUUUGCGUAAAGAGGGGCUGGAUCGUAGGCCCUAGGAUUAGUCGCUGUAAAAUGGACACCUAGGUAUCAAAAAAAAAAAAAAAAGAAAUCAGAUUUUGGUGUUGAACUGGGGUUAGCCACUGGUUUAGAUACAAGGUUAUGAGCCUCAUUAGACGAGACCUAGUUAGUAGAUCAAAAUAGUUUGCCACAUAAGUCCCAAUAAUAAUCACCGGAGUGACCUACAUGAUCACAAUGAGUACAUUUUUGUGGUCCACGAUUUCCCAAAUGACCACUACCUCUAAUGUCUCGUCCACCCGGGAGCUAACACCACGGCCACCCUGACUUCUACGUCCACCCCUGAUUGAGCCACCCUAAGUAAUAAAAAUAGAAUGAUCUCCUUUGGGUAUACUAUCCGAGAGAGUAGAGCACUGAAUACGAGAAAAUGUCUCUACUAAAUUGGGAAGCUCUUUUUUACCUAAU
RNAcentral lists this long non-coding RNA (861 nucleotides) under Olea europaea subsp. europaea. Lineage: Eukaryota; Viridiplantae; Streptophyta; Magnoliopsida; Lamiales; Oleaceae. The record is from RNAcentral.